This 521-nucleotide ribosomal RNA is filed under the name uncultured bacterium. RNAcentral describes it as "bacterial SSU rRNA". It matches the Rfam family "Bacterial small subunit ribosomal RNA", at positions 28 to 526 of the family's 1533-position model. The record is from RNAcentral.
GACGAACGCUGGCGGCGUGCCUAAUACAUGCAAGUCGAGCGGAGUCAUUUUGGAAGCUUGCUUCCAAAAUGACUUAGCGGCGGACGGGUGAGUAACACGUAGGUAACCUGCCUGUAAGACUGGGAUAACUACCGGAAACGGUAGCUAAUACCAGAUAAUUUGUUUCUUCUCAUGAAGAGAUACUGAAAGGCGGAGCAAUCUGCCACUUACAGAUGGGCCUGCGGCGCAUUAGCUAGUUGGUGAGGUAACGGCUCACCAAGGCGACGAUGCGUAGCCGACCUGAGAGGGUGAACGGCCACACUGGGACUGAGACACGGCCCAGACUCCUACGGGAGGCAGCAGUAGGGAAUCUUCCGCAAUGGACGAAAGUCUGACGGAGCAACGCCGCGUGAGUGAUGAAGGUUUUCGGAUCGUAAAGCUCUGUUGCCAGGGAAGAACGCUUGAGAGAGUAACUGCUCUCAAGGUGACGGUACCUGAGAAGAAAGCCCCGGCUAACUACGUGCCAGCCGCCGCCGUAAUAC